Leopardus geoffroyi (Geoffroy's cat) is the source of this 578-nucleotide long non-coding RNA. RefSeq lists it as uncharacterized. The record is from RefSeq and is a predicted model, not a curated record. NCBI's taxonomy places the organism in Eukaryota, Metazoa, Chordata, Mammalia, Carnivora, Felidae. The transcript has 2 exons.
ACACCCAUGGUGAAGGUAUAAUUUAUACGUACCUCUUGGAAAACAUUUAGUUCAGGAAAUGUCUGAGUGUAUUUGUGUGUCACACAGUCUUAAGUAGGUCCUCCUUGUUACUCUCAUAUUCUUUUUUCACAUACCAUAGUAUUUGUUUAUUUGACUUACUGUCUUUCUUCUUGAAUAGUCUACAAGCUAUGUAAGAACAGAAGCAUACUUGUUUUGUUCAUACUAUGUCACAAACACCUAACCUGGUAUUCUGUCUUAUGGUUUCAGCUUAAUAGAUAGAAGUUGGAUGGAUGCCUAAAUGAAGGGCUAGGUAUCAAGGACAGAUUUUAUUUUUUCCAGGAGCUCACAUUCUGGUGGAGGACAUAAUACUAAACUAUGUGGUGUCCGGGGUCAUAUCUAAGUUUGUUCCGGCCAUCCAGAAUACUCUACAAUGCCCCUGGCUCUGGAAGAGGAAAGGACUGACAGUGUUAACUGAAUCCAUUUUGAAUGAGACAUACAUCAUGCCAAUGUCAUUCACUGGAAACUGUAACCAGCUUGGUUGGCUAGUCCCUUGCCCAUGGAAUAUUGGUUUUUCAGAC